UUCAAUAACAGUCUAAAAUUAAAAAGUUAGUUAUGCUAAUUGUUCUAAAUUUUCUACUGGAUCAUACACAUCCUUUAUCACUCUGGAUUAGAAUACCUGAAUAUGCUGAUAAGGUUAAUGAUUGCAUCAGCCCUCUCCUAUAGCCACAUGCAUCACUGCCUAUACAGUGAUGUAAAACAUGAGAGGUACCAGGAGAGGCCACCAGAGAUCAUUAACAGAUAACAUAUUGGACAACAUGUUGGACAGAGUCACAUAAUAAAUGUCAACCUAAGUCAAGGGGAGAUAAUUCAGAUACAAUCAAACAAAAACUAGUAUAUCAAUAUAUAUAUAUAACAAUAGCAAUAAACAUAGAUAGUACUUUUAAGAUGCACACAAAUCACUGUCCAGUUGUGAUGUGCAUCAACAUAUUAUUAAUUCUACAUGAACUAUUAUAAAGCCUUAAGUAAGUACAUAAAUAGAAAGAUCUCUCCUCAC
This 474-nucleotide long non-coding RNA is filed under the name Mytilus galloprovincialis (Mediterranean mussel). Lineage: Eukaryota; Metazoa; Mollusca; Bivalvia; Mytilida; Mytilidae. The record is from RNAcentral.